This 253-nucleotide ribosomal RNA is filed under the name uncultured bacterium. RNAcentral's name for it is "partial 16S ribosomal RNA". It matches the Rfam family "Bacterial small subunit ribosomal RNA", at positions 524 to 776 of the family's 1533-position model. The record is from RNAcentral.
UACGAAGGGGGCUAGCGUUGCUCGGAAUCACUGGGCGUAAAGGGUGCGUAGGCGGGUUUUUAAGUCAGGGGUGAAAUCCUGGAGCUCAACUCCAGAACUGCCUUUGAUACUGAAGAUCUUGAGUCCGGGAGAGGUGAGUGGAACUGCGAGUGUAGAGGUGAAAUUCGCAGAUAUCAGGAGGAACACCGGUGGCGAAGGCGGGAUCCUGGGCCAGUACUGACGCUGAGGAGCGAAAGCGUGGGGAGCAAACAGG